AGGUCUGAUCUGUGAUAUUUGCAUCGCACAUGCGUAUUAGCGCCCUCCUCUAUCGAUCGUGGGACAUUUGAAGUUCCCCAGUUCAUGAGCUUCUCCAGUCCGAAGAUAUUUUUUCUUCCAAGAAAAAAAUCACCGCAUAUUCAGGCAGGGAUUACUUAUCUGCUGGAGGAAAUAAAGACGUCUUUUGCAAAAGCAGACUCUGAGUCUAUAAAAACAUGUUGCAGGACUUACUAUGAAACACUGCGGAGGAAAUACACUUUGUCUCUACCCGAAAAGUUACAGAUUAGGGACUCCAUUAAGGCAGUGGCUAAAAUAAGGAGUAAGUGUAGAAAUUCACCCCUGUAUUAAGUUUGGUACAUCUCUGGGUGUUUUUUGCUGUGAAGUUGCUGGAGUCUGGGUCCAGGGUCAUUCAAACAGAUGCAGAGAGAGAACUGUGGCAGACAGCAACGCUGGAACUGAUGUCUGAUGAGGAGGAUGUCAUUGCUGACGGAAGGCCGGUGUGGGCUGUGAGAUCUCCACCUCACAGGAGACCACAGUUGUCAUCUUCAGCGCAGAUUGGAGGUAGAUGCACGCUACGUUCUUUCACACCAUCAGCGUGUAAGACCUAAUGAAACUGAGCCAGAAGGACAUUGAUUUUUGAAACUCUAAGAAGCACGGGUUCAUCUGUGACUGCUCCUCGGGUGAUACAGUGCUCCAAAUGUCACUGGAUGGCUUAAAUGCAGAGGUCACAUUCCAAGUAUGGGUUACAUUGGUUAUUAUGUUACUUUCACUUCCCUUUUAUAUUGUGUUUUAGUAUUUAGUCUUUAAUAUUUUAGCUUUUAGAAUUGUAUAAAUAUAAUUGCACCUUUAUAAUUGCACAUUUGCUUCCUAAUUCUUACCUACUUGCUUUAUACAUUUAUUAGAUUUGGACAGUUCCAUAUUCUGUAACUUUGUUGAUAUUGCUUUGUGUUUGGUUGCUUUGUAUGUGUGUGGUUUGAUUUUAGUUUCAGUUCAGUUCCAUAUUCUAUAGCAUUUUUAAAAUAUAUAUAUAUUUUAAUUGCUUUGUUUUGUUUAUUAAAAUAAGUGUUUUGUUUACUAAAAUAAACUGUAUAGUUUCAUAUUUUAUAACCUUCUAAUAUUGCUUUGAGAAGUGUCUGGUUGAAUUUAAAGUUGAAAAAAAAUCUGAAACAAUUCUAUUCUAAUUUUUAGAGGGUGCGAGGGAUGUAUAGUAUGGAGGGGGGUUAUGGUCUAUGUAUAUAACUGGCCAAUAACCAAUCAAGUCACUAAGAUAAAAGGCCUUUGGUUGGGUUUAGUAAAAAGCGUAACCAAUCAAAUAAUCUCAAGGGAAAGUGUCAAAGUUGUGUCAGUUUUUGUCAGGGUUUUGAAAGUGGUUUUGAGAAGCCACCAAUCAAUGCGAGAUGAAACUCCAAUGGGGACACCGUUGUGCAAAUGUGUGAAAUGCAAGAUCAUCUGCAGGUGUGAAAAAGUCCUCUGAUAAAAUCGUUGAUGGGAUUAUUUGCAAAAACAGCAGAUGUCUGUACCAUGGUAGGAUACAUAAGCAUGAUUGGUAUGAUUCCGGAAGUAUCCUAAACUGGUGGAAGUUGAUGUAUACACUCAGUGGUGCAUACAGGAGCUUCCUUGUACAGAUACACCAAGUUUCAUAGAGUGCAGCUCCAGCACACGUGCAGGACGUUUCUGGUGAGACCUUGAUUAUCUGGUUAAGGUGUAAAACCACAGGACAGUGGCCCUCCAAGAACAGCUUUAGACAGCCCUGCUCAUAAAAGUUCACAACUGCCUUGUGAUAAAUUCUUUCUGGUUUCCUAAAAAUACUGGUAUGUCAAUCUUUUGAGCAUAUGAACUUAUUGACAUCAGAGCUAAUAUUUAAUGGUCUGUUAAGCAUUCAAUGAUUCAACACUUAAGAUAUCAUAAAGUGAUGAUACAUGAUCUACAAUACUAGUGAUGAAACAUUUAAACCAAGGAAUUCGGAGCUCAUGUCGAAAAUAUGGUCAUUCCAGAUGAAGCCUCGAUUCGAAGUUUGUGUUGUUAACGUAGAAAUCAUGUGACCAAUAACAAACGAAACCUCACUUUCUUUUCAAUGAUAUGCGUGAUUCACUUUUGUGUGUCGAAGUGUUCGAAUCCCCAGAUCUUACUUUACCAGUGUGUUUUCAUUCGGACUUACUCAGUUACACUUUAAAUAACCAGUCAUAAAAAUAAUAUCGAAUAAAGCUAAUUAUUUCAGAGAAAAAAAUAUAUGUUUUUCAUAUGCAAUUCAUAAGUGUACAUUAUUCUUCUGUUAGGCUAAAGUGAUAUUUGUAAUGGCAUUAACUGCCACAGUUAUUGGUUAAAUGCAUUUAACAAAGAGAGAAAUUCAACACACACACACACACACACACACACACUGUUUGGCUUUUAUUUGUGUACCGAUCUAUGGAACGUUUUGUGGCUGCUUCGUCCGUCGGAGCUUCUUUCACGGGCUUUUGCCUGUUUUGUUUUUUACUGACCACCAGAUGAGGCUGUUUUAUAGGCUCUAGAAGUUUUGAAUUUUUCCCCGAAACAGUCAGAGGAAAGUCUCGGUGCUUCACGAGGCUUCAACCAACCAUCACUAGUUCUCAACUCUGGUCCACAUUUUCUAGGCUAUGUCUUCUUUAUUUAACAUAGCUGAACUAACCAAUUUAGAUCUUCGGGAGCACUUGAUUAUUGUUGGAUCAGGGUCAAUAUCAAUAAAACAAAUAAAUAAAAUAUAAAAUAAUAAUAAAAAGUAUAAAUACAUUUCCAAAUCUAUGUUUUCUAAGCAUAACAUUUAGAUUUUUGUUUUUUAC
Long non-coding RNA from Carassius auratus (goldfish), 2798 nucleotides. RefSeq lists it as uncharacterized. The record is from RefSeq and is a predicted model, not a curated record. The transcript has 3 exons. NCBI's taxonomy places the organism in Eukaryota, Metazoa, Chordata, Actinopteri, Cypriniformes, Cyprinidae.